UUCCUCUAAGAACUGCUUUUGCUGUGUCCCAUAGGUUUUAGGUUGAACCUAUGGAUCAUUGAAGAAAUCAAAGAGGAAAUCAAAAGAUACUUAGAGACAAAUGUAUCUAUUUCUUAAUACCAUGCUGUAAUAUACUGAAUGAAGUAGGAUAAUUUCAUGUAGUAUAAUUAGUAUUUCAUGUAGUAUAAUUAUGACAAUGUAGUAUAAUUAUUUUAUUCAGAAAUACAUACUGAGUACCUACUAUGAGCUAGGCACUGGCAUAUAGACAUACAUAUAUAUGUGUAUGUGUGUGUAUUAGUUUUAAGAUACGUUCGCAUAUUAUUUGAUCCUCACUUCUAAUAGAAUAAAGUAGAAGGGACAGUGUAUGACUUAGGAUACCAGGUCAUAAAAAACCCUCUGGCUUCCUGAUUGUAUUCUCAUUCUUGGUUUACUUUGCUCUGGAGGAAGUUAGCUCCUAUAUGGAGAAACUCAUGUGGAGAGUAACUGAGGCCUGGAGCCACCAGCCACAUAGAUGGGCCAUCUUGGAAGUGUAUCCAACAGCCCCAUCCAAGCUUUCAGAUGACUACAUCCAUGUCCAACAUCUUGAGUCAGUUUCUUGAGAAAUUCUGAGUAGUUAAGCCACUCUCAGAACUCUGACCUUCUGAAAUUUAAUAAAUAUUUGUUUUAAAUCACUGAUAUUUGAGGUGAUUUGUUGCACAGCAAUAGAUGACUAAUACAGUGUGUGUGUGUGCGUGUGUGCACGUGCGUGCAUGUGUGUGUUAUCAACAGUGAUCAAAGAAAGAUAACAGCAGCCUGGAACAUAUUAAGUACCUGUUCCAAAGGUUCAUCUCUUUCCCUGUAGUCUCCAUUUUAGCUGAUAUCAUAAUAACACACUUGUUCAACCAAAUAUAAAAACCUAGGUCAUCGUUGACUCCUCACUUCCUACAGAUAGGUCACCAAAUCAUUAUAAUCCCACUCCCUAUAUCCUAAUGGUAUUGCUUCCCGUCUUUUACCAUUCUAUCUCCUUUGUUUAAUCAAAAAACUGUAGCAUCUUUGUAGCAUCUUCAUAGUGAAUUCCUACAUCAAGGUCCUAGAACAUUUCAUGGAUGCUGGAUCCCCUCCACUACCUCUGUGCUUGCACACACGUCUAACAUUCCAUUUUAAAAUGCUUUUCUUUUCAUCUUUCUAGCCCAAGAGUUCCUGGAGUGUAGAGACUUGUCUCAUUCCUCUCAAUCUCUUCUGUCUCCAGCAAGGGCCUGGCAAAGACGGUGCUCUGAAAAUAUUAGUAUGCUGAUUUUCAAUUGAUAUAUAACAAAUUAAAUUAUCUCCACUUAGUGGCUUAAACAACAAACAUUUAUUACUUCACACUUUUCGUAGGUCAAGAAUCUCACGUGGUUUUGUUGGGUCAUUUGACUCAAGGUCCCUCAAAAAGUCAUAGUCUUCAUGUCAAGGCUCAAAUGGGGGACAGGCCACAUCUAACUCACUCCUGCAGCUGUUAGAGGCCACUGGUUCUCAAUGCCACAUGGACUGCUCAGCAGGUGGAUUCCAUAAGAGCCAGUAUGGAGAGUGAGUGAGACAGGGUCAGCCAGGCAGAACCAGAGUGUAAUCUAAUCUCAGAAGGGAUAUUCCUUUACUUCUGCCAAAUAUUUAUUAGAAGUGAGUUACCAGGUCAGCCCAGAUAAGUUUCACAAGAGGUUAUUACACAGGGGCCUGAAUACCCAGAGCCAAGGAUCACUGGGAGAUACCUUAGGAGCUGCCUGCCUUGAACAUCUUGAGCUUGUCUCUCAAAACAGGCCCGGUCUUGGGGGUCCAUCACCUCUCUAAGAACCAUCUUCAUCUCCUCCUCCUCCUCUGUGCCCUUCCAGGAAAAGAGGAGCAGACUCCUCUGCUCCCAGGUAACCAGUGGACAGCAGUCCAUCUCUAAACUCCAUUCAUCCACUUAUGUAGUCUGUGUUUCAGCCCUGGAAAUGUUGCUUAACCUCAUUCAUGUUCUAGCUACCCAUCUAGAAAUGGGGUUAAUAAUGGAACUCACCUCCUAAGUUUGUUGUGAGGAUUAAAAACGCAUAUGGAAGCUUUUAACAUAGUUCACAAAGCAAUGUCACUUCUCAAUAAACAAAAGCAACCUUUGUUACUGUCAUUAUUAUGAUCAUGAUUAUUAUCAUUUUGUCCAUGCAUGUCAAGAUAUCUAAAAGGGCAGUUUCUUCCUUGCCAAACUUGGCUCUACUUUUAACACUUGUUCAGUCUCUUCACACUGUAAUUUAAAAAAAUUAAAAAAAAAGAAGGGCAGCUUCUGUGUUGUGGAUGACAGGAAGACACUACUAUACAGCUCUUCCCAGAACUAGAAAUUGAAAAAUCCAAGGAAGAGCGUAUAGGACCCCAUUGGUGCAUCAGCGUAAAUGUGCAAAGACAGAGGUUGGAAAUGGAUGUAGAAUAAGAUCCCACAGUGCCGUAAUAUGGGUAGAAAUCAUGCUGGAGGGGGGCACUUUUUGUACUUUGCCUUCUUUUGAAAAAUUCCACUUGGUUUCCCUAAUACCAUCUUUUUAAAAGUUAAGGAUAAUCCAUCUAUGCUGAGGGACCCCCAGGACAUGAUCUGUACUGUCUGUAAAAAGAUUUAAGUCCGAGAAGCAGAAGGGAAAAAACAUUUCUUGAGUCAAAAUUGUUAAGCCACAGAGUACAUGUACAAUUCAACCUGCAUUAUCUCAUCCUUGCCACCCAACCAUAAAAGGGCAGUUAUUCCUAGCCCCCAUGUUAAAAAAAAUUGGGGGAAAUCCACAUAAUAAAAUUAACCACUUUAAAGUGAACAAUUCAAUGUACAUUCAUAAUGUUGUGUAGCCAUCAUCUCUACAUUUUCAUCACCGUAAAAGGAAACCCUGUACCCAUUAAGCAUUUAUUCCCAUACCCCCUUCCCUAGCCCCUGGCAAUUACCAAGCUACAGUGUUUCUAUGGGUUUACCUCUUCUGGAUACUUCACAUUAACAGAAUCAUACAUUUGUAACUUUUUGUGUCUGGCUUCUUUCUCUUCAUAUGUUCAUAUAGUCUUUGUGAGGUCUGUCCACGUUGCAUAUAUUCAUACUGCUUCCUAUUUAUGGCUGAAUAAUAUUCCUUUGUUUACCCAGUCAUCUUUUGAUGGUCAUUUGGGCUGUUCCUACCUUUUGGGUAUUGUGAAUAUUGCUGCUGUGAACCUGUAUACAGGAAUUUGUCUGUUUUUCUGUUCUUUGGGGUGUGUUUCUAGGCGCAGAAUUGCUGGGUCAUAUAGUAAUUCUGUUUGAUCUUUUGAGGAAUUUCUUCAUAUCAUUUUUUUACAGGUGGAGAAAAGCAUGAAUUCUUUAAAAUACUUUGAGUGUAGAGUAUGGGUGUGUGGAAAACUUCCUGGAGGAGGUGAGAUGAUCUAAGGGAGGCACGUUGCUCUUGUGGGAUGGAGCAGAGCAUUCAGGGUGGAGAUUCCUGGAUGAUAUGGACAGAGGCAGAGGUGAAGUUUCACAUUUUGGAGGAUGGAUAUAGCUGGGCUGCUUUGAAAGAGACAUAUCAAGAUGGAAGUGGACCCAACAUAAAAGUUAGUGGACACGACACAAAAUUGAGUGGCAGGCAUCAAUGAUUUGGAUCAGUCACCCGAGCACAUUCCCUGGAAUUCCAGCAAGUUCACAGAAGGGAUUUUCCUUCUUCAAGCCCCUCUCCCUGCCCUGCCAAUUCUUGACAGUGAUGUUAAACCACACCUGCUUGGCCCCUGAGACAUCUCUCACCUGCCCCGGGUCCUACAGGAAGAUGAACUGCCAAGGUGAAAAGGCUCACGGUAAGUCCCAAGCCUGAUCUGCAAACCAAGGCCAGUUUGUGCCUUGGGCUCAAUUUCCAAUGCCCUCUAAAGGACUGGCCAAUGUCAGGCAGUGCCUACCUGAUACCCUGGGCCAAUGCCAGGGCAGGAGAAUCAGUUAGACUUUUGUGAAGACACUACUGGGGAUCUCGGGAUUGAUUUUUGAAGCUUUGAUUGAGUUCAGUACUUUUCCAGAAGAACAGGAGGCUUGGAGUGGCUUGACAGCUGCCACUGUCCAGGAUAAAAUUAUCCUGAGCAGACCAACUCUCUAGGUCAAAUAGUGGUCUUAAACCAGAGGCUCACAGCCAAAUUCAGCCUAUAUAUUAUUUUUUCCUUGGCCUGCACAGGGAUUUUUAUUUAUUUAAAUUACUUGACAAGAUGUGAAACUUGAAUGAUUCCAUGUGAAAAUGUGCAUUUCUGACUUUUUUUAAAAAAAGAUUUGAUUGUAGGUGUGAUGUUUAAGAAUGUGAACUCUUAAGCCUGAUUUCCUGGCUUAGAAUCCUGGCUCUGUGAUUGGGGACAAGGUAUCAAACCUGUCUGUGCCUCAAUUUGCUCAUCUAUCAAAUGGGAACAAUAAUAAAAAUACCUAUCUCAAGGGUAAAGAUUGAAUGAACUAAUAUAAGUGAUGCUCUUAAAACAGUGCCUACCAUAUACAAGUAUUGUAAACAGUUGCUCUUAAUACUGGGCAUAGCAUUCAUAAUGACUACAGUUACCUCCCUUGCUCAAGAUAGGACAUAACCUCUCCAUUAACUGUGCUUCCCACCACACGCAAUUCACUCAUUAUAUUGGCUUCCUGGCCUCUGUAAGUAUUUGAGUUUGAGAUCCGUGGUCUCAAAUGAAGAUAUAGUAUUUGCCAGUGUAGGACCUCUGUAAACCCCUGGGCAGCAACCAGGAGAUUCCAUAUUUGCCAAGUUCCUCACAGCAGGAAAUUUAUGGGCAUAAUAGAUGAAUAUUACUUCCGGAUCCUGAUUUAGCCCUGUGACUUAGUUUGGUUCAGCAACCGCAUGAAACAGAAUGGACGAUGUGUCAGCUCUGAGCCUAAUCCUGACAUGUUUCCUCUUGCAAUUUCUCCAUUUAUUAUUGAGAAGGAAAAGUUUGUGCUCGAUGCUGGCCUCUGGAAGAAAAGGAAUGAUGCCUGAAGCAGGGACUCCCCAGUUAAGAUGACCUAUCCAGUCCAACAAAGAACAGUGUCCCAGUUGACCUGAAGAAGUAUUAGCACACCUAGCCGAGAUCUGCUGAAACCAACCUAGAUCAGCCAACCCACACUCAUAUGAGAUAUAAUAAUACAUGGUUGUUGUUUUAAGCCACUGAGUUUUGUGGUGGAUUGUGACCCAGCAAACCCUAUCAGAGAAACUAUCCAAAGGAACCCUUAACAUCACCAAGGGACCAAAAGAGGACAGUGCCCAUUUUUCCAAGAUACAGUGAUGAUGUCACCCAGGUUAGGUAUGACUAGGACCUCCCUAAGGACUGGGCUGCUCUCUGCCUCACACCAAGAGUCAAACAUUCAGGGGUUGGAGUGUUUGAUACUUAGGUGGAUACCCUGUCCCUUCACACAACCUUGGACAAAAACCCCAGGCCACAGCAGAGUACCACCAAAAGCGUUUGAUGGAUUUUCUCAGUUCCCGUGGUUUCUUAUUCUCUCAUGGUUCCUGUCAUCUCCACAUCCUCAGAUACACAAUUUCACCAAAUUUUUGUCCAUUUGUGUAUUCUGGCUAUACAAUGUAAGAAUGAACUGUUGGGGAGUUCCCGUCAUGGCGCAGUGGUUAACGAAUCCGACUAGGAACCAUGAGGUUGCGGGUUCGGUCCCUGCCCUUGCUCAGUGGGUUAACGAUCCGGCGUUGC
Molecule: non-coding RNA, 5628 nt
Organism: Sus scrofa (pig)
Lineage: Eukaryota; Metazoa; Chordata; Mammalia; Artiodactyla; Suidae
Source: RefSeq, a predicted model, not a curated record